This 56-nucleotide transfer RNA is filed under the name Neotoma lepida (desert woodrat). It matches the Rfam family "tRNA", at positions 9 to 63 of the family's 71-position model. Rfam says of the family: Transfer RNA (tRNA) molecules are approximately 80 nucleotides in length. Their secondary structure includes four short double-helical elements and three loops (D, anti-codon, and T loops). Further hydrogen bonds mediate the characteristic L-shaped molecular structure. tRNAs have two regions of fundamental functional importance: the anti-codon, which is responsible for specific mRNA codon recognition, and the 3' end, to which the tRNAs corresponding amino acid is attached (by aminoacyl-tRNA synthetases). tRNAs cope with the degeneracy of the genetic code in two manners: having more than one tRNA (with a specific anti-codon) for a particular amino acid; and 'wobble' base-pairing, i.e. permitting non-standard base-pairing at the 3rd anti-codon position. The record is from Rfam by way of RNAcentral. Lineage: Eukaryota; Metazoa; Chordata; Mammalia; Rodentia; Cricetidae.
AGCUCAGUGUUAGAGCACUUGCUUUGUAUGCAUGAGACCCUGAGUUUGAAUCCCAG